Molecule: ribosomal RNA, 373 nt
Filed under: uncultured bacterium
Lineage: Bacteria
Description: bacterial SSU rRNA
Rfam family: Bacterial small subunit ribosomal RNA
Source: RNAcentral
UAAUACGAAGGUCCCAAGCGUUAUCCGGAUUUAUUGGGUUUAAAGGGUGCGUAGGCGGGUUAUUAAGUCAGUGGUGAAAGCUCCAUGCCUAACAUGGAAAUUGCCAUUGAUACUGAUGAUCUUGAGUACAUUUGAAGUGGGCGGAAUGUGUCAUGUAGCGGUGAAAUGCUUAGAUAUGACACAGAACACCGAUUGCGUAGGCAGCUCACUAAACUGUAACUGACGCUGAGGCACGAAAGCGUGGGGAGCAAACAGGAUUAGAUACCCUGGUAGUCCACGCCCUAAACGAUGAUCACUCGAUGUGUGCGAUACACAGUACGCGUCCAAGCGAAAGCGAUAAGUGAUCCACCUGGGGAGUACGGCCGCAAGGCUG